UACGUAGGGGGCAAGCGUUGUCCGGAUUUAUUGGGCGUAAAGAGCGUGUAGGCGGCUAGAUAGGUCCGUUGUGAAAACUCGAGGCUCAACCUCGAGACGUCGAUGGAAACCAUCUGGCUAGAGUCCGGAAGAGGAGAGUGGAAUUCCUGGUGUAGCGGUGAAAUGCGCAGAUAUCAGGAAGAACACCCGUGGCGAAGGCGGCUCUCUGGGACGGUACUGACGCUGAGACGCGAAAGCGUGGGGAGCGAACAGG
This 253-nucleotide ribosomal RNA is filed under the name uncultured bacterium. RNAcentral describes it as "partial 16S ribosomal RNA". It matches the Rfam family "Bacterial small subunit ribosomal RNA", at positions 524 to 776 of the family's 1533-position model. The record is from RNAcentral.